This 432-nucleotide ribosomal RNA is filed under the name uncultured bacterium. RNAcentral's name for it is "partial 16S ribosomal RNA". It matches the Rfam family "Bacterial small subunit ribosomal RNA", at positions 29 to 507 of the family's 1533-position model. The record is from RNAcentral.
AGCGAACGCUGGCGGCAGGCCUAACACAUGCAAGUCGAACGAACUCUUCGGAGUUAGUGGCGGACGGGUGAGUAACACGUGGGAACGUGCCUUUUGGUUCGGAAUAACUCAGGGAAACUUGUGCUAAUACCGAAUGUGCCCUUCGGGGGAAAGAUUUAUCGCCAUUAGAGCGGCCCGCGCCUGAUUAGCUAGUUGGUGAGGUAACGGCUCACCAAGGCGACGAUCAGUAGCUGGUCUGAGAGGAUGACCAGCCACACUGGGACUGAGACACGGCCCAGACUCCUACGGGAGGCAGCAGUGGGAAUCUUGCGCAAUGGGCGAAAGCCUGACGCAGCCAUGCCGCGUGAAUGAUGAAGGUCUUAGGAUUGUAAAAUUCUUUCACCGGGGACGAUAAUGACGGUACCCGGAGAAGAAGCCCCGGCUAACUUCGUG